AGGGUGACGUCACCUGGGGGAGCGGGUCAGACUCGGAGCCCCCGCACCGGGAGCCCUCCGCGCGGCGGCCCCCCCCGUACCGCGGCGCUCCCGCAGCAGCGGGCCCAGGUCGUAAACGCGGCCGAGAGCGCUGAGCCGGAACCGCCCGGCCUCCGCCACCUCCCGCGCCAUGAAGUACCGCGGCCGCCGCUCCGCGCCGCCCGCCGCCAUGGCGGCGCCGCCGGAAAGCCGCACCGUUUCUAUGGCAACGCCGACGCCGGAGCCGAGCGGCCUCUCCUGAUUGGCUGCGUGCGGGCCCCGCCCACCCCGGCCCCGCAGGGCACGCCGGGAAACGCGACCCGCGGCGGCCGCGCGGGGACUGCUGGGAAGCGGUGGCGCCGCGGUGGGGUGCGAGGCUGAGGGGUGUGGGGGGGAACGGCGGUGUGGGGCUCGGGGGUACCCCGGAGGGCUGUGGAGCCGAUAGGAUUUGGGCUGCUGGGGGGCGCCGUGGGGUCCUGGGAGCUGUCGGGGUGCUGUUGGGAUGAUAAGGGGGCCUCGUGGAUUUUGUGGGGAGCCUCUGGGGGGCUGUGGAGGGCUGUAUAGAACUAUAGACGGGCUAUUGAAGCUGUAGGGGGGCUGUGGGACAUAUAGGGGUGCAUAAGUGGGCAUAGGGAACUCUGGGGUCCAUAGGGUCUGUGGGGGAUGGUGUUGCUACAGGGGUCCUUGGAGCUCUAAGGGGGUGUAGAGCAAACAGAGGCGAUGACAGGGCCUGUAUGUGAGAAAUGGGCGCUAUAGGAAAAGAUAUCCCUUUGAUAUUUGCAAAGAUAUUUCCCUUUGGAAAUUAACUCUUCCCUCCCACUGACAGCUUGAAGAAAGACAUGAGCUGAGGAACGCAGCCUUCUGUCCGUACCGGCACUGCAGGAGAAGGGCUGGCAGAAGGGGCACCCGCACAGGCUCAGAUUGCACACAGAAGUGUGCACACAGUGCUCCCAGAAGCAUCAGUUGGGACAGAAAGAGUGGCUCCAGCCCCCCUCCCCCCCCCCAACUCCAGGCAGUCACGUGCUCAUGUUCAGGAGUUCCACUACAGGGGGCUACAGGUGUCUGAAGAAGUUGACAGAACAGAGCGACCAAACUGAAGGAACCACGCAUCUUCCAUACAGGGAUCAGCUAACCUCUGCAAGCUACCAAGAGGAAUCCAGGGUGCACCGACUGAAUCCAAACUGCAUCUCCUGAGCUAGCAGGGGGAUGGCAGGUGAUACGUGCUCUGCACUUCUGCCUGAAGAGCUCAGCCAGGAGGUGGCAGCGCCUCUUGUACAGCACGCGGCCUGCAGGAAAAGAAGAGAUGGAGUUCUGGCAGCAGUUGAUAAUACAACGUUGUCAUAGGUCAUUUUUAAUAAUUGAAAGAACAAUAAAAACUAUGUGUUUUAAUUCAGGAUUAACUUUAAGCCUGUUGUUUAUACAGAGGACAGUCAGCGUACGACCAUCUUCUAUUUGCUGUAUUAGAGAAGUCUCCAUCCAGCAAGAGGUCUCAUGGUUCCUACUGUACAAUGGCAGGGGCAGAGUCCAUUUCAGACUCUAUCAAUACCUCAAAUUACGUCCACAUCCCCAGGAGUCCAGGCUCCUUCCAGGAUCUGGCAAAAUGGCAACAACCCCUUGAUGGAAGCGGGACCUACCACGAGCACAGACCUCCUCUCCGGUUUCUACUCCCCUUAACGCCAGCAAGUCCGCUCACUUUAGAACUGGGGGAUUUGUGUUUUACUCUGGGAACACCCAGCAGCCAACUGACACAGCACUGACACUGCUGAACAAAAGUUCAGUGAGAUGGGUCCUAUUUCUAAGAUCCAAAACACCACUGCGCAUCACUGUGCAUGUGUAAAGCACUCCAAGAGCUGUGCUAUCGUAGCACAUUUUCAAAGCGUAUACCUGCUCUGAAGUAGACUGUAGCUUUGGUUAUGCUCACUGGAACCUACUGAGUUAUUCCAGUUGGCACAGGCAGGACUUCACAAAAUAUCUCUGGCUUUCUAUGGGGAUCGGUUAACUACACCCCAAAGUUAUUCAGCUCUGCACUGUUGAGGAGUUCAGCUGAAAUCCUGGGAAGUAUUUCAAUGCACCCCAUCUUUCUUCUGCUGCUGAAUAAGACAAAAACACCGAAAAAAACCCCACAAAAAAAGUAACCAAAUGCACCAGGAGCAAAACAUCGCCAUUCAUCUCUGUGCUCAGUGACCUCUCACAUUCACAUCGCAGCACCUCUGCUUCACAAAAGAAAACCAAACUGAAAAACAACGAACAAAAACGAAUUACCGGCAGUAAGGAGCGCUGCACACAGUGCCCAUCAGAGCUUUCCCAUCUGUAUUUCUGUUAACAGAUGAGUUUUGCUCCUUCUGAUGACUUUUUAACAACGAUCAGUGAAGACAGCACCAUCACCAAGUUAGUCCAGUUACCCGACUCGCUGAUUUUACAAGACAUUAGAGGCAGCUCAGGUAUUACUGAACAGAAUGAGCUUUGGAGGGCAAAAUCUUGGCUGGAGCUCUGCUGGCAAGAAAAACUUGCACGAUACUGAAUAUCAGCGGCUUGACAGAUACUCCUGUGCACAAGAUGGCCAGCAUCAGCCCAUAUGCCACUGCUGGGCCGCGACAAAGGCAUGCAGCUUUGUCUUUUUCCUGCUCCAUUUCACCAGCUGGGAAAGCCAUGUCCUUGUGCCAUUCUAGAUGUACCAAAACCAGAACAAUGAGACCAGAGUAUAUUUUGUACAAGAAAGAAAUACAGUUCAGGACUAGAAACCACAGAGCUUCUGAAAUCUGCACAGCUGGAUGGGACUGGGAUUUCAGCUGCAGGGGGUUUUCCUAGAAUGGCUAAAUCAUUACAGCACAAAUCCCUUUAUAUAGCAGGGAAGUAAGAGAGAGAAAAACAAGAGAGCUAUGAAGCAGAGGCGCCUUGUAGAGGAGGAUACAACAGCGUUCAAGCUGUCAUCUCCACCCAAUGCACCCCCCAGCCAGCUCACUGCCACUCCCUGAGCAUCUCUUGGCUCCUGGGGCACAGAGCAUGGCACAGGGAGAGAGAAAACCCUCCAUGCCUUCACAGCCCUCGUCAACUUUCCACCCUCAACAACUCAAGCCCUCACAGCAGCAGCACCUUCACCUCAUUCGGAGAGCAAGAAAUCCCAGCCACACAUAACGAAUUGCCACAACAACAGAGGACUGUAUGACACAGCUGCAAGGAAGGUGGAAGAAGAACAGGCACACGGAGCCAUCAACAAAGAAACUCGAGUGUGGCUUAGCACAGGGCCACAAGAACAAGGCAGCACCAAGCACCCAGUCAGUACUCUGCAGGCAGCAUUCUGAGAUGGGAAUGUCACACAUGGACUGCACUUACCUUACCUAGGCAACUUGUAGGCCUUGAUGAGUGGCAGAGGUGCCUGAAGACUGGAGGAAAGCCAGUGUCACUUCAAUCUUCAGAAAGGGCAAGGAGGAGGACCUGGGCAACUACAGGGCAGUCACGCUUACCUCCAUCCCUGGAAAGGAGGUGAAGCAACUUGUUCUGAAUGUCAUCUCCAAGCAAUUGGAAAAGAAAGUUAUCAGGAGUAGUCAGCAUGGAUUUCAGGCUGCCCAAAGAGGCUGUGGGGUCUCCUUCUCUGGAGACAUUCAAAACUUUCCUGGACUCAUUGCUGUGUGACCUAACCUAGAUGUUCCUGCUCUGGCAGGAUGAUUGGACUAGAUGGUCUUUCAAGGUCCCUUCCAAUCACAUAUUCCGUGAUUCUGUGAUUCACCAAGGGGAAAUCAUGCUUGACCAACCUGGCAGUCUUCUAUGCUGUCAUCACCGACUGAGUAGAUGGGGGGAGAGCAGUGGAUGUCAUACACCUUGACUUCAACAAAGCUUUUGACACUGUUUUCCAUAACUUCCUCAUAGGUAAGCUUAGAAGUGUGGGAAAGAUGAGUGAGGUAAACUGGGAACGGAGGUGGAUAGAGCUCAGAGUGUUCUCAUCAGUGGUGAAGAGGUCUAUAGAGUUGGAGGUCUACAGUGAGUGGUGCUCCUCAGGGGUUGGUACUGCGUCCAGUCUUGUUCAGCAUCUUCAUUAAUGCUGCAGUUUGGUGAUUUUUGGUGUCAGUAUUCCACAUCAGGACAUCACAUGAACCAGUGGAAGUUAAAGAGUUAACGUUC
Molecule: long non-coding RNA, 4137 nt
Organism: Gallus gallus (chicken)
Lineage: Eukaryota; Metazoa; Chordata; Aves; Galliformes; Phasianidae
Exons: 3
Source: RefSeq, a predicted model, not a curated record